Molecule: long non-coding RNA, 1387 nt
Organism: Pieris napi
Lineage: Eukaryota; Metazoa; Arthropoda; Insecta; Lepidoptera; Pieridae
Exons: 2
Source: RefSeq, a predicted model, not a curated record
UUUCCCGUACUAACUCAGUAUCACCGCCACGAGAUGUCUCACCAUCACCACUACAGGAUACUACUAAUAUAGCAUCGCUACCAAUUAAUGCCGAAAAUACAAAUACUAAGGAAUCAACCCCUACUCCACGGGGAACGAAGAGGAAGUCAAAUAUAAUUGACACUCAAAUUAAGUUCUUUAAUGUAUGCACAGAAGCUCUUCAAAAAAAGAGCAAACAGAUGACAGAAUAUGAAGCUCUAGGAGUGACAAUUUCAAAAAAAAUUGAAAAAAUGGACAAAGUCCAAGCUCUAUAUGCAGAAUCAAUUAUACAUACAGUUAUGCACAAAGGCAUUUUAAAACAACUAACAGAAACGUCAGAUAUAUGUGAUAAACAAUGCAAAAAAGUUGUAUUUCAUACUAACAUUUCUGGGCCAUCGUCAUCGUCUACCCCACUUCAAGAAAACUCUGAUAUAAUUUUAUCUGAACCUCAACAUACUCAUAACACAGAAAAUACAGAAUCUAUUCUCAGAGAAUACUACCAUAACUAUGAUGACGCUAACUUUUGAAUUCAUUUAAAUUUGAUUAAAAAUGAUUAAGUUAAUUUUGUCUCGUAUUCGUAAUUAAAAAAUGCUUACCCCGGAGCACAAAGUGAAACGUGUCCAAUGUGCCCAAGACUUUCUCGCCAGUUUUGAAGAGGAAGGGGAAGAAUUUCUCGAUUCAAUCGUUACAGGAGAUGAAACAUGGGCUCAUUAUUACAUACCGGAAACGAAGGAGCAGUCGAAACAAUGGAGACACACGCAUUCGCCUAAAGUUAAAAAAUUUAAGCAAGAAUAAUCAGCAGGCAAGGUUAUGGCCACCGUCUUUUGGGACAGAAAGGGUGUAUUGCUGAUCGAUUUCAUGCCUCGUGGAACAACCAUAAAUGCUGAUCGGUACUGUGAGACCUUGAGGAAACUUCGAAGAGCUAUUCAAAAUAAACGAAGAGGGAUGCUGACCAAGGGAGUACGACUUCAUCACGACAACGCGCGUCCUCAUGUGGCCAACAAAACAACGUCACUCAUUACGGAAUUUGGUUGGGAUGUGUUGGACCACCCUCCUUACAGUCCCGACGUCGCCCCUAGUGACUUCCACAUGUUUCCAUGAAAAUUCCAUUUUCAUUUUAAUGUUCGCGAAAUUUGCGAAUGAUGAAGAGGUGCAUGAAGCGGUCAUUUCGUUCCUGCGCGAGGCGGCGGGAUCAUGGUUCGAGGAGGGGAUACAAAAGUUUGUCGUACGAAUGAAGAAACUCAUCGAAGUGAAUGGCGAUUAUAAAGAAAAAUAGCUUAGAUUUCAAGCUUUACAGCAAUGUAUUAAAUUUUGUAAAUACAUGUUAUUUAAUGUGAAAAAAAUAAAUGGAGACCUUACUUUAAAUACA